AGUGAACGCUGGCGGCGUGCUUAACACAUGCCUUUCGAGGGGCAGCAGCAUUUCUCUUCGGAGAGAUGGCUGGCGACCGGCGGACGGGUGAGUAACACGUAACUACUUACCCCACAGUGGGGGAUAACCCGGGGAAACUCGGGCUAAUACCGCAUAUACCCGAGAGGGGAAAGACCUUUUUUAAGGUUGCUGUGGGAUAGGGCUGCGGCGUAUCAGGUAGUUGGUGGGGUAACGGCCUACCAAGCCGAUGACGCGUAGCUGGUCUGAGAGGAUGAUCAGCCACACUGGAACUGAGACACGGUCCAGACUCCUACGGGAGGCAGCAGUGGGGAAUAUUGGGCAAUGGGGGAAACCCUGACCCAGCAACGCCGCGUGGAGGAAGAAGCUCUUCGGAGUGUAAACUCCUUUUCUGAGGGAAGAGAGAGACGGUACCUCAAGAAUAAGCUCCGGCUAACUCCGUGCCAGCAGCCGCGGUAAUACGGGGGGAGCUAGCGUUACUCGGAAUCACUGGGCGUAAAGGGUGCGUAGGCGGUUAAGUAAGUUGGGAGUGAAAUCCUAUGGCUCAACCAUAGAACUGCUUCCAAAACUGCUUAACUAGAGUCCGGGAGAGGCUGCGCGAGAUCUCGGUGUAGGGGUGAGAUCUGUAGAGAUCUGGAGGAAUGCCGAAAGAGAGGGCGUGCAGAGGGAGCGGUAUAGACGCUGAGGCACGAGAGAGUGGGGAGCAAACACGAUAAGAUACCCCGGUAGUGCACGCCCUAAACGAUGGGUGUUAGAGGUUGGUGGGACACUCCAUCACUCACGCAGAUAACGCGAUAAGCACACCGCGCGGGGAGUACGGCCGCACGGGUAAAACUCAAAGGAAUAGACGGGGACCCGAGCACGCGGUGGAGCACGUGGUGUAAUUUGAAGAUACGCGAAGAGCACUACACGGGCGCGACAUCUCCGGAGCCCCGUAGAGAUACGGGGGUGCCCUCACUAGAGGGAGCCGGGAGACAGAUGUUGCACGGCGGUGUUCAGAUCGUGUCUUGAGAGAUUGGGGUAAGUCUCGCACCGAGAGCACCCCCCGCCCCUAGAGGCUAACACAUAGGGUGAGCACUCUAAGGGGAGUGCCCGGGUAACCGGGAGGAAGAUGGGGAGGAGGUCAAGUCAUCACGGCCCCUAUGCCCACGGGGACACACACGCUACAAAGGGGAGGACAGAGAGAGAGGAGCCGGUGACGGGGAGCAAAUAAUCUAAUACAUCUCGUCACUAUUGGAUGAUGAGUAGUGCAACUAGUACUCUGCGAAGUAGGAAUAGUUAGUAAUAGUGGAUCAUCCACCACGCGGCGAAUACGUUGCUGGGUGGUGUAGUCAUCGCCCGUCACCCCACCGGAGUAGUAUUCACUCCGAAGUAGGUAUCCCAAAGAAAGAGGCGGCCUACGGUGGGUCGGGUGAGUGGAGG
Molecule: ribosomal RNA, 1440 nt
Filed under: uncultured bacterium
Lineage: Bacteria
Description: partial 16S ribosomal RNA
Rfam family: Bacterial small subunit ribosomal RNA
Source: RNAcentral